This 46-nucleotide ribosomal RNA is filed under the name Choleoeimeria taggarti. RNAcentral's name for it is "small subunit ribosomal RNA". The record is from RNAcentral. Lineage: Eukaryota; Apicomplexa; Conoidasida; Eucoccidiorida; Eimeriidae.
CCUAGCCAACACGAUCCUAUUGCCUGGGUUAUUUUUGUGCUACAAA